RNAcentral lists this ribosomal RNA (389 nucleotides) under uncultured Chrysophyceae. RNAcentral's name for it is "partial small subunit ribosomal RNA". It matches the Rfam family "Eukaryotic small subunit ribosomal RNA", at positions 30 to 432 of the family's 1831-position model. Lineage: Eukaryota; Chrysophyceae. The record is from RNAcentral.
GCUUGUCUCAAAGAUUAAGCCAUGCAUGUCUCAGUAUAAACUUCUAUACGGUGAAACUGCGAAUGGCUCAUUAAAACAGUUAUAAUUUAUUUGAUGGUCGCUUACUACAUGGAUAACUGUGGUAAUUCUAGAGCUAAUACAUGCAUCAAACCCCGACUUCUGGAAGGGGUGUAUUUAUUAGAUGGAAACCAAUGCAGGGCAACCUGGAAUAUGGUGAUUCAUAAUAACUCGCGGAUCGGUUUACCGAUGCAUCAUUCAAGUUUCUGCCCUAUCAGCUUUGGAUGGUAGGGUAUUGGCCUACCAUGGCUUUAACGGGUAACGGAGAAUUAGGGUUCGAUUCCGGAGAGGGAGCCUGAGAAAUGGCUACCACAUCCAAGGAAGGCAGCAGG